GCGUUAGGGCAAUUUGGGGCGAUAUGCCCUUCCUCCCGGCACCGGUAACAAAUGACGACCCCGCGGGGUCGUCGACUCCACCCGCUUUGCUGCUGAUAUGCCGGGACUUGCUGCAAGUUUCCCUGGUUCACUGGCUCCACAGCAUACACCGGGUAAGCUCCCUGUUGAGGCUGAGUCGUUUGGGGCUGCACAUAGAAUCCAGCACCCAUCUGCUGGCCCGGCAAGGUCUGGUACACGGGCUGAGCUGCCAUUGGUCCUACCGCUGGAACUUGCUGCUCCCUCAUUCUAGCAAAGCAGUUCUCAGUGGUGUGAUUUGUUCGCCGACAGUAACCACAGCGAGGUCGAGCUGGCUGGGGAUUCUGACACUCAUUGGGGUAGUGCCCAUAGCCCUUGCAUCGCACGCACCAAAUCUCGGCGCGGUCCACCACCUUCCGAGGUUGCGCCUCAGUUUGGCCUCUCACCAAGUUCACUUGUAGCUCUGCCAUCUGCUUGGUGAGGGUUUCCACUACAUCUUCUUUCACCUUUGCCAGUUGUGACUCGAAGUUUGGUAGGUGUUGACUCGUCAUUGGAAUUGACAGAGCUGGAGCCGCCGGUACUGCUGGUAACAGAGUCGACUGGAGCUGCAACUGGGGCUGGGGCAUAUACUGAACCCCCGCCAUCACACUUGGGUAAGCUCCAGACGCGUAGGAUGACCUCGAUCCCAGCCUCGCUUGCUCCCACGUCGCUGCAUGCUCGAUAGCUGCAUUCAAAUCUUGAGGUCUGUGAAUUUUCACGUGGAAACUGAGCUCGUAGGGCAGCCCGUUGAGAUAACAACGGACUUGAUCUUCUGCAGGUGGAGCCGGAUUCUUUCUCUGCAGUAGCGCUCUGUACCUCCGAGUAUAGUCCUGCAACGUCUCUCCUGGCAGGAGCUGAAUAGAAUUCAACUCCUCGGUGAUCCGGGUACUAAACCCGAAUGGCCUGAACUGCCCCAGAAAUGCUCUUUUCAACGCAUCCCAGGUGGCAAAUGCUGGUUGUGCUCCCGCAACAACAGCAGAAGCUUGAGCGUACCAAUCCAUCGCCGGACCGGAGAGCGUUGUGGGAAACCACCUCAGCCUCGCUGCAUCCGCCUGCUCUUGAUUUGCCAAGCUCACCACCUCGAACGCCGUGAUAUGAGAAUCUGGAUCGCUCAGGUUGGUGAACUUUUGAUAUUUUUCUCUUCCUCCUCCUGCUGCCGGCUGAGCCAUAUUGUUUGGUGGCGCAGGUGGAACCAGAUUAACCGGGUUCAAAGUCACUGUCAGGCUUGCCGAUCCGGUUGGAGAAGUUGGCAGUGUAAACUCCGCCUCUGGUGAAGUCGGGGGGGCUGGAGGUGAUGAACUCUGAAACUCCCCCCAGUUGUUGCCCUCCUCUACACUCUCUACUCUACGCUGCUCCGGGCUGUUCCACGGUGUACUGGUCUCAGCUGGUACCGAAUUCCUUCUCAAGUAUCUCUCGCUUCGAGACUCUUUUUGUUUUUGUUUAGUUUCUUCAUCAAAGCGAUAGUAUUCCGGGUGUCGGCUCAGCGGCCUCCUCUUUCCACAGGGGUGUUCCGGAUGGUCCACGGCUACCCAGUCUGUGCUACUCGAGGUAGGCUCCCGGCUGACGCACCAUUUGUAGUCCUAACUUUUUCCAACUGCUCUCUACUAACGCACACAGAAAACUCCAGGAAAACUCAACGUCAUCUUUCAUUCCAACUACUGAACUGGAUACAUCGGGAUGUUUGCCACUAAAUCAGCGGCCUCAGGUGCCAAGAGCUCCUCUAGGACUUCACGCAUCAGACGAUACCAAACUUGGCCGCAAGUGGGGCAAUGCGUGAGAAUCUGUUGAUCAGGCUGGACAUGCAUGCGCUCCACCGCUCUUCUCACCCUGUGCUUCCUCGUGAUCCGAUCUGCUGUGGGGUUGCGACGCACAGGACCAGACUGCUGACCGUCUCGCACCAUCUCCAAAACGCUGUCAAAACUUCCUCCAAGCAACCGUUUUUUCCCCGGCAAGAAUCCGGCCUUAACUCCCUCCUGCAGAAUAUUCCCUUCAUAUCCAGGAUAUCCCUGGCAUCCCUCCUAAUCUAGCCCUAACUUUAUUCUUGGGGUUAUCCCACAUCCGGAAUAUUCCGAUAACACCAAUCUUCUGGAACACACCUCGUAGUACCUGCAAACUUCUCGCAUCUCCGGCUCAUAACUCGGAAAUUUCCUGCUGCAACUCUUCGCUCACAUCUUCUGGAACAAGUUAGUGGGAUGACAAGCAUCUAGCAUUUUAAUGUUAGGACCAGCAUGCAAAAUAGAGCCAAACAGAGUCAAGCACUAUUUCUGUAUAUUGGUGGUCUAAUGCUAAGAUAUGGGUACUCCACCAGCUAGUAUAGU
This 2372-nucleotide long non-coding RNA is filed under the name Selaginella moellendorffii. RNAcentral's name for it is "long non-coding RNA (SMOE_LNC002061)". The record is from RNAcentral. Lineage: Eukaryota; Viridiplantae; Streptophyta; Lycopodiopsida; Selaginellales; Selaginellaceae.